CCGCGUGCAUGCUUAGCAGGUGCGGGCCCUCCCAAGGUUCUGCGCUGCCUCCAACUCCUCUGGACCCAGCUUCUCUAGCGGUGAUUGGAGUUGUGGUGCUCAGCGCCGAUCUUGUGUGCUGAUAAAAGCUGCGGGGAUUGUCGAGGUCUUCCUAGGGCGGUGAAAGGUGGGGGGGCAGCUUCAGAUCCGGCGAGUUUUCCACUAGCCUGGCUGCGGCUGUUACCAGCCUGUUCAGAUUCGUCGUCAAAUUGGAAGCCCCCGAGAGGAGACAGCCAAAAUACUGAGGACCCGCAAAUGCAGGCCGGGGAGUCGGAAAGGGAGAUCCCAUCUCACUGGAGUAAGGUGGAGGAGCUGAAACAAAAAUUGGUACCCAGGCCAUGACAGCCCUGGAUACAGCUAUCCACAGACAAGAAAGAGCUUGGUUUUCCUGUUUUGAAGCUAAGUUGUGUUGGGCCCCUUCUAGGGACUAGAAGUUUUGUAACAGGAACAACUCCUUUGAACAACAAAGAUAGCUGCAUGGUGGUGAUAGACUCCAUUCAGCUUUGGAGGAUAGACUAAUACCACAGCACCGACUGGAGAACCACGGAG
Molecule: long non-coding RNA, 588 nt
Filed under: Homo sapiens (human)
Lineage: Eukaryota; Metazoa; Chordata; Mammalia; Primates; Hominidae
Description: HSALNT0106627
Source: RNAcentral